AGAACGAACGCUGGCGGCAUGCCUAACACAUGCAAGUCGAACGCUCGGGGUUUCGGCCCCGGGAGUGGCGCACGGGUGAGUAACGCGUGGGAACCUGCCCAGGAGUGGGGGAUAACCGAGGGGAAACUUCGGCUAAUACCGCAUACGACCUGAGGGUGAAAGAUUUAUCGCUCUUGGAGGGGCCCGCGUCGGAUUAGGUAGUUGGUGGGGUAACGGCCUACCAAGCCUGUGAUCCGUAGCUGGUCUGAGAGGAUGAUCAGCCACACUGGGACUGAGACACGGCCCAGACUCCUACGGGAGGCAGCAGUGGGGAAUAUUGGACAAUGGGCGCAAGCCUGAUCCAGCAAUGCCGCGUGGGUGAUGAAGGCCUUAGGGUUGUAAAGCCCUUUCGGCGGGACGAUGAUGACGGUACCGCAGAAGAAGCCCCGGCUAACUUCGUGCCAGCAGCCGC
This 451-nucleotide ribosomal RNA is filed under the name uncultured bacterium. RNAcentral describes it as "SSU rRNA". It matches the Rfam family "Bacterial small subunit ribosomal RNA", at positions 26 to 518 of the family's 1533-position model. The record is from RNAcentral.